UACGGAGGGUGCGAGCGUUGUCCGGAAUCACUGGGCGUAAAGGGCGCGUAGGCGGCCUGAUAAGUAGGGGGUGAAAUCUCGAGGCUCAACUUCGAGCUGUCGGUGGAAACUGUCUGGCUAGAGUCCGGAAGAGGAGAAUGGAAUUCCUGGUGUAGCGGUGAAAUGCGCAGAUAUCAGGAAGAACACCCGUGGCGAAGGCGGUUCUCUGGGACGGUACUGACGCUGAGACGCGAAAGCGUGGGGAGCGAACAGG
RNAcentral lists this ribosomal RNA (253 nucleotides) under uncultured bacterium. Its description in RNAcentral is "partial 16S ribosomal RNA". It matches the Rfam family "Bacterial small subunit ribosomal RNA", at positions 524 to 776 of the family's 1533-position model. The record is from RNAcentral.